AGAAAAACUACCCAGUUGAAAUUUGGUGCUAUACAUCAAAAAGGAAAAACUAGCCCUUAAAAAUAUCAAAUACAACAAGUAAUUUUCCAGCUCAUCCCAUGCGAUCUUUGGGUAAAGGCAUUUUUAUACCGGCUGUUCUUAUGAUGAAAGUUUUUGCUUGUCUCGCAAAUUCCUAAAAGGUCCUUUUUUCCCCUCAUUGUCCCUCCAUUAAAAAAACAGAGAGAGAAGAGAGACAAGGGGCCUGAGAAGAAGGAAAAGCGAGGCCGAGAAGGGUGAGCGAUGGUGGAGGAAAAAGGAAAGAACAACAGAAAAAGGGAAUUAGGAAGUGAAAUGGCAGAGAGGAAAAAAAAGGACGGAAGGGAUGAGUUUGCAGUCGAGGACCGGAAGCAUAUUGGAAGCGGCGGCGGGAUGUCAGCGUUGCGAAGCGCAUAGGGAUGUGAAAUUGGUAAGCAGUGAGCAGCAGUCAUGGACAUAAGCAGUGCAGUCUCAAUAUCUUUUGUUGCAUUUCUCUUUAUCAAAGAGAUUACAUACUCCAUGAAGACUGCAUCACAAGGUAAUCUAAUCGGUCCAUCACAUGUGAGGCCAAACUCUUCCUUUGACAUUUCAAAGAGACGGAUGAUAAGCGGAUUGUUGAGAUAUGUGACCGGGAAGGCAAAGCGCCUUUCAUCUACUGUAUAGACAAUAAAGUGGCCCUUAUCUGCCAAUGAUGGUGUGCCUUGAUCUGCUCUUCUGCUGGCUCCUGGCAGUGAAAUUCUUUUCCUCUUAAGGGCUGCUAGGUGCUGCCACUUCUUCGCCAUCUUGAUGAGUUUCUUUGAGCUGAUCAUUUUGUCUUGAGAAAAUGAACCUGAAAAAGAAAGAGGUGGAUAACUUCUUUCUAGAGUACUGGAAAAUUGGGAUUACUGACUGAUGCGGAAUGCAAUGGGAUUGGAUGAGUUAUAUAACACAAGCCCAGUGAGACACUUCUUUUCAUGUGGGUUACACUUUGAGGGGAAUCAUGUAUACAAAACCAUGUGGCAUAUGUUUUUACCACUGUUUCUAAGGACCACAAAACAAAGGCACAGAUGAUUGGAUACGCA
This is a long non-coding RNA of Carica papaya (papaya), 1076 nucleotides long. RefSeq lists it as uncharacterized. Lineage: Eukaryota; Viridiplantae; Streptophyta; Magnoliopsida; Brassicales; Caricaceae. The record is from RefSeq and is a predicted model, not a curated record.